Triticum aestivum (bread wheat) is the source of this 172-nucleotide non-coding RNA. NCBI's taxonomy places the organism in Eukaryota, Viridiplantae, Streptophyta, Magnoliopsida, Poales, Poaceae. The record is from Rfam.
AAUCUACUCCCUCCGUUCCUAAAUACUUGUCUUUCUAGGCAUUUCAACAAGUGACUACAUACGGAGCAAAAUGAGUGAAUCUACACCCUAAAAUAUGUCUACAUACAUCCGUAUGUAGUAGUCAUUUGAAAUGUCUAAAAAGACAAGUAUUUAGGAACGGAGGGAGUAUAUG